Non-coding RNA from Coffea arabica (coffee), 441 nucleotides. Lineage: Eukaryota; Viridiplantae; Streptophyta; Magnoliopsida; Gentianales; Rubiaceae. The record is from RefSeq and is a predicted model, not a curated record.
GGUUGAGAGGUCAGACUAUUAACUAAACCAUGAAGAAAUGUGGAGAUUGUUCUCUAAAGGUAUGAAAUUUGGAGAUUUUCUCCAUCGUCGUCAUGCUAUUUUACAGGUACAGCCAAGAGAAGAUCAUCACCGAGAAACAUUGUGUGCAAUUUUGCUUCCUUGGGAUUUGUCCUUCUUCAUCUCAGGGGUGCGUUCAAUUAUUGACUCACAAUAGACGAUCCAUAUGGUGCAAAUGAUUGAAGAUGUAGUCACUCCGAAACCAGUUCAUGGAAUAACAAACUUUGUUCCCAUUUUAAACAGCAAGCGAAAUGGGACAAAAAAAAAGAAGGCCAUGAAAAGAAGCAAGGAGGGAAAAUAUGGAUCUUCAUCAGAACAUAAGGAGAAGAUGAGAAGAGGAAUAACCAGAUGAAGAGAAAAGUAUGGAUCUUCAGCCCAAUCAGA